GGAGAGAUGCCGGAGCGGUUGAACGGGCGCGCCUGGAGAGCGCGUAGGCUCUUAACCGAGUCUCCAGGGUUCGAAUCCCUGUCUCUCCGCCA
RNAcentral lists this transfer RNA (92 nucleotides) under Candidatus Abzuiibacterium crystallinum. RNAcentral's name for it is "Candidatus Omnitrophica bacterium CG11_big_fil_rev_8_21_14_0_20_45_26 tRNA-Ser". It matches the Rfam family "tRNA". Rfam says of the family: Transfer RNA (tRNA) molecules are approximately 80 nucleotides in length. RNAcentral also lists the same sequence under 1 other name. Lineage: Bacteria; Pseudomonadati; Candidatus Omnitrophota. The record is from RNAcentral.